UACGUAGGUCCCGAGCGUUGUCCGGAUUUAUUGGGCGUAAAGCGAGCGCAGGUGGUUUAUUAAGUCUGGUGUAAAAGGCAGUGGCUCAACCAUUGUAUGCAUUGGAAACUGGUAGACUUGAGUGCAGGAGAGGAGAGUGGUAUUCCAUGUGUAGCGGUGAAAUGCGUAGAUAUAUGGAGGAACACCGGUGACGAAAGCGGCUCUCUGGCCUGUAACUGACACUGAGGCUCGAAAGCGUGGGGAGCAAACAGG
Molecule: ribosomal RNA, 252 nt
Filed under: uncultured bacterium
Lineage: Bacteria
Description: partial 16S ribosomal RNA
Rfam family: Bacterial small subunit ribosomal RNA
Source: RNAcentral